Molecule: long non-coding RNA, 500 nt
Organism: Nycticebus coucang (slow loris)
Lineage: Eukaryota; Metazoa; Chordata; Mammalia; Primates; Lorisidae
Exons: 3
Source: RefSeq, a predicted model, not a curated record
GGGCCUUGCAGGAAGGCCAAAGCUUGUGCCUCUUACUUUAGCUGCAAGGGGAGCCAGGAAUUUAAGCAGAAGUGUGCACAGUCAGAGUGGGUCACAGGCUCCCACGGACACGGCAGAGAACAGCAUGAGGAGGAGGAACGCGCUCUGACUCUCAGAUGCCUCUGCCAGCAGUGACACCUGUCCUUUCCACCACAUUGCACCAGCCAAGACAAACGCUAUGCCCUAAUUUCAGGGGGACAUGAACCCUAAAGAAGAGAGAAGCAGAAAUCUCGGUGGGCUGUUGGGAGCCCUAGAGCAGUGUGGAAGCAGAACGUGGAAAUUCAGAGCGGAGACUGUGUAUGGGAAGAUGAAUGACAGGUACCACUGGACUGUCGGGCCCAGCCAUCUCAGUCUUGCACACCGAGCAUGUUUUAACCUUCAUUGUCUCUGGCCUCAUUUCUUUAUUCUGCCCCUGGAUUGAACCCCUAGACCAAGCCUGAGUUCCCGGUGGCUGAGCCAGG